Molecule: transfer RNA, 76 nt
Filed under: Bacillus subtilis subsp. subtilis str. BSP1
Lineage: Bacteria; Bacillati; Bacillota; Bacilli; Caryophanales; Bacillaceae
Description: tRNA-Ala
Source: RNAcentral
GAGUGUUUUGACCGGCUUCAGCUCAAUCGGGCUUUCCAGGUCUUUAACGUUUUUAGGCUUUGUGAACACAUGACCG